CCUACGGGGGGCAGCAGUCGAGAAUCAUUCACAAUGGGGGAAACCCUGAUGGUGCGACGCCGCGUGGGGGAAUGAAGGUCUUCGGAUUGUAAACCCCUGUCAUGUGGGAGCAAAUUAAAAAGAUAGUACCACAAGAGGAAGAGACGGCUAACUCUGUGCCAGCAGCCGCGGUAAUACAGAGGUCUCAAGCGUUGUUCGGAAUCACUGGGCGUAAAGCGUGCGUAGGCUGUUUCGUAAGUCGUGUGUGAAAGGCGCGGGCUCAACCCGCGGACGGCACAUGAUACUGCGAGACUAGAGUAAGGGAGGGGGGACCGGAAUUCUCGGUGUAGCAGUGAAAUGCGUAGAUAUCGAGAGGAACACUCGUGGCGAAGGCGGGUUCCUGGACAGUAACUGACGCUGAGGCACGAAGGCCAGGGGAGCGAAAGGGAUUAGAUACCCGAGUAGUC
Molecule: ribosomal RNA, 446 nt
Filed under: uncultured bacterium
Lineage: Bacteria
Description: partial 16S ribosomal RNA
Rfam family: Bacterial small subunit ribosomal RNA
Source: RNAcentral